CAGUUCCUGUAUGAUCACUGAAGUUAAGCAAUAUCAUGCCUGUUCAGUACCUAGAUGGGUGACUGCUUGGGAAUACCAGGUGCC
Acanthosepion pharaonis is the source of this 84-nucleotide non-coding RNA. The record is from the annotation of a GenBank genome assembly. Lineage: Eukaryota; Metazoa; Mollusca; Cephalopoda; Sepiida; Sepiidae.